UCAGCAGCCGCGGUAAUACAGAGGGUGCAAGCGUUAUUCGGAAUUACUGGGCGUAAAGCGCGCGUAGGCGGACUGUUAAGUCGGUUGUGAAAGCCCUGGGCUCAACCUAGGAACUGCAUCCGAUACUGGCAAUCUAGAGUUUAAGAGAGGGAAGUGGAAUUCCAGGUGUAGCAGUGAAAUGCGUAGAUAUCUGGAGGAACAUCAGUGGCGAAGGCGACUUCCUGGCUUAAAACUGACGCUGCAGGUGCGAAAGCUUGGGUAGCGAACGGGAUUAGAUACCCCGGUAGUCCAAGCCGUAAACGAUGUCAACUAGCUGUUGGCCUUAUUAAAAAGGUUAGUAGCGUCUVNMGCGAUAAGUUGACCGCCUGGGGAGUACG
This 377-nucleotide ribosomal RNA is filed under the name uncultured bacterium. Its description in RNAcentral is "bacterial SSU rRNA". It matches the Rfam family "Bacterial small subunit ribosomal RNA", at positions 508 to 884 of the family's 1533-position model. The record is from RNAcentral.